GGGGAACCGCCUGAACUGAAACAUCUAAGUAGGGCGAGGAAGAGACAUCAAACGAGAUUCCGUAAGUAGUGGCGAGCGAACGCGGAAGAGGGCAAACCGUGAGUAGAAAUACUUGCGGGGUACGGACUGCAUUUAGGACUUGAGUUGUUAACCGAACGGCAUGGGAAGGCCGGUCAGAGAGUGUGAGAACCACGUAGGUGAAAACGACAAGAGCCGAGCAAGUUCCAGAGUACGGCCAGACACGUGAAACCUGGUCGGAAGAUGGGGGGACCACCCUCCAACCCUAAAUACUACCCAGUGACCGAUAGCGUAUAGUACUGUGAAGGAAAGGUGAAAAGCACCCCGGGAGGGGAGUGAAAAAGAACCUGAAACCCUGUGCCUACAAGCACCUAGAGCACGUCAAUGUGUGAUAGGGUACUUUUUGUAGAACGGUCCGGCGAGCGAUUGUAUGCAGCAAGGUUAAGGACUUAAGGUCUGGAGCCGAAGCGAAAGCGAGUUUGAAAAGGGCGUUAAGUUGCAUACAAUGGGCCCGAAACCGGGUGACCUACCCAUGGUCAGGUUGAAGUGGAAGUAAAAUUCCAUGGAGGACCGAACCGACCUCCGUUGAAAAGGCGGCGGAUGAACUGUGGGUAGCGGAGAAAUUCCAAUCGAACCCGGAGAUAGCUGGUUCUCCCCGAAAUAGUUUUAGGACUAGCCUCAAGUUAGAUACCUGGAGGUAAAGCACUGAAUAGCCUAGCGGCCGAGAGGUUAGCGAAGCUUAUCAAACUCAGAAUGCCAGAGUAUUGAUGCUUGGGAGUCAGACAGUGUCAGAUAAAUGUCAUUGUCAAAAGGGAAACAGCCCAGAUCUACAGCUAAGGUCCCAAAGUCAGGUUAAGUGGAAAACGAUGUGAAGAUACGCAGACAACCAGGAUGUUGGCUCAGAAGCAGCCACUCAUUCAAAGAGUGCGUAAUAGCUCACUGGUCGAGCGUCUUUGCGCGGAGAAUUUAACGGGGCUAAACCUGACACCGAAGCUUAGGCAAUACAGCAAUGUAUUGGGUAGGGGAGCGUUGUAUACGCGGUGAAACAGUAGCGCAAGCGGCUGUGGAGUGUAUAGAAGUGAGAAUGCCGGAAUGAGUAGCGCGAAUGCAGUGAGAAUCUGCAUGGCCGAAAGCCUCAGGUUUCUGGAGGAAGGUUCGUCCGCUCCAGGUUAGUCGGGAGCUAAGGUGAGGCCUAACGGCGUAGCCGAUGCACAGACGGUAGAGAUUCCGUCACCACCAAAAGAGUUAAACACAGGGACACAUUUGAAGUCUCGGAGCCGGGUGUUGGUUCCGGUAGCGAUCGAGGGAAGUUAGUACCGAAGUCCGGGAUGGAAGAUGGCGAGAAAAGCUGUGUGUAUUUCUGCGGUGCCCGUACCGCAAACCGACACAGGUAGGUAGGAAGAAGAUUCUAAGGCCAACGGGAGAAGGGUUGUUAAGGAACUCGGCAAGUUGACCCCGUAACUUCGGAAUAAGGGGUGCUCACGAGAGUGAGCCGCAGAGAAUAGGCCCAGGCAACUGUUUACCAAAAACACAGGUUUGUGCUAAAUCGAAAGAUGACGUAUACGAGCUGACGCCUGCCCGGUGCUGGAAGGUUAAGAGGAGAUGUGCAAGCAUUGAAUCGAAGCCCCAGUGAACGGCGGCCGUAACUAUAACGGUCCUAAGGUAGCGAAAUUCCUUGUCAGGUAAG
RNAcentral lists this ribosomal RNA (1705 nucleotides) under human gut metagenome. RNAcentral describes it as "bacterial LSU rRNA". It matches the Rfam family "Bacterial large subunit ribosomal RNA", at positions 178 to 1980 of the family's 2925-position model. The record is from RNAcentral.